RNAcentral lists this ribosomal RNA (468 nucleotides) under uncultured bacterium. RNAcentral's name for it is "partial 16S ribosomal RNA". It matches the Rfam family "Bacterial small subunit ribosomal RNA", at positions 28 to 507 of the family's 1533-position model. The record is from RNAcentral.
GACGAACGCUGGCGGCGUGCUUAACACAUGCAAGUCGAACGGAAAGGCCCUGCUUUUGUGGGGUGCUCGAGUGGCGAACGGGUGAGUAACACGUGAGUAACCUGCCCUUGACUUUGGGAUAACUUCAGGAAACUGGGGCUAAUACCGGACAGGAGCUCUUGCUGCAUGGUGGGGGUUGGAAAGUUUCGGCGGUUGGGGAUGGAAUCGCGGCGUAUCAGCUUGUUGGUGGGGUAGUGGCUUACCAAGGCUUUGACGGGUAGCCGGCCUGCGAGGGUGACCGGCCACAUUGGGACUGAGAUACGGCCCAGACUCCUACGGGAGGCAGCAGUGGGGAAUAUUGCACAAUGGGCUGAAGCCUGAUGCAGCAACGCCGCGUGCGGGAUGACGGCCUUCGGGUUGUAAACCGCUUUCGCCUGUGACGAAGCGUGAGUGACGGUAAUGGGUAAAGAAGCACCGGCUAACUACGUG